CUCUCGACGCCCCACACGGAUACACCCGCCCGCCCCCGUCACCCACCCUUCUCACCCACUCCCGCUUUUUGUUCAUCCAUUGGCCAGCCAUGUACGGUAAUCCGCACAAGGAGCCCGUCGCGAUCGCCGUCAUCGGCGGCUCUGGCAUCUACAAGCUGGACUGCUUGCAGGAUGCAAAGUACUACGACGUACCGACCCCGUAUGGCAACCCGAGCGGGCAGCUGUGCGUGGCCAAGGUCGACGGUGUGCCGUGCGUCUUCCUGCCGCGUCACGGUCCGCACCACCAGUACAACCCCAGCGAGAUCAACUACCGCGCCAACAUCUGCGCGCUGAAGCAGAUGGGCGUGCGCUACAUCCUCGCCAUCAACGCUGUUGGAUCGCUGGACGAGUCCUGCAAGCCCGGCGACCUCGUGCUGUGCGACCAGAUCAUCGACAAGACGUACGCGCGCAAGGCAACCUUCUUCGAGGGCGGCGUCGUCGCGCACGCGGACUUCGCCCACCCGACGUCGCGCAUCUUCAACAACAUCGCGCAUGAGGCGCUGCUGCGCUGCUUUCCGGACGUGGCGGCCGGCAAGGGCACGUUCCAGAUUCACAGCAGCGGCACCCUCGUGACGAUGGAAGGUCCGCAGUUCAGCACUAAGGCCGAGUCCCUCCUCAACAAGCAGAUGGGCGGCCACCUGAUCGGUAUGACGUCGGCAACGGAGGCGCGGCUGGCGCGUGAGGCGGAGAUCGCAUACGCGACAGUGGCGAUGGUGACCGACAUGGACGCGUGGAGCGACGCGCCGCACGUGGACGCGGCGCAGGUGACGAAGGUGAUGGCGGCGAAUGUGGAGAAGGCGCAGCGCUACCCAUCCGAGAUCAUCAAGUCCCUCGCCCAGAAUCUCUUCGAUGAUCCGGCGCACCACACCCUGGAGUACGCCAUCGUGACAAAGCCGGAGCACAUCCCCGCCGAGACGAAGCAGCGCAUCGCGCCGCUCGUGGCGAGCAAGUACCCGCAGUUCGCCCCGUAGAGCGUGCGUGUUGUACCAGAGGCCUCGAGGCGUGUGUAGGUGAGGUGGAUACGUGGAUAGCUUGGGCAAGCGGCGUAAACGUUGAAGGAGAUGGAGGAGGGGCGCGGGUGUAUGUCGCCUCCGACUCGAGCGCGAAGUUGAUUGCGCUCACUCGCGAGCAAGCAGCCACAGCAAAACUAAGCAAGCGGAGCUGGAGCAACAGCAGCAACGGCGGUGUUUGGGUGUGAAUGUGGGUGUGUGUAAGCUGCCGCCGUGUUGAUGGCGGUGCCCGCACCCCACCCCCGCUUUCACCCUCAGUUGCCUAGCCGCUCACCUCCUCCGCACCUGCACAUCAACGCAUGUCCUCUCGCAGGUUCAGGUAAGCGUACCGUUACUUCGAACACCCAGUCUUCUCCCCCCACCCCACCCCACUCCCACCCCCGUCCUCUUCGCUUCCGUCGCUGCUGUUGCCACGACGCUGGUUGGGGGGUGCAUGCGCGGGGGGGGGGAAGGAGGGAAGGGGCCAAGCCCGGAUACGAUGAAAAGGGAAGGGAAAGGAUAGGGGGCGGGAACUGGACAGACCUGUGGGGGUGUUCACGGGUGGGGAGAAGGAAGGAAGGUAGAAGUCAGAGGAAUGCGCGAAAGGGCGAAGAGCAGGAAGAAAGGGGGUGGCGCGAUGCAGUGCGGGCACACGCGCGCGUGCGUGCCUCUAUGCCUCUCUCGUGUUCCUUGCGCCCCGCCUCGCCUCGGCGUCCUCGCCCUGCACACCACAACACCCCCACACACCACACACACACGCACACCUUUGUGUCCAUGGUUUGUGCGUGCAUGGGCGUCUACGUUUGUGGAAGGGAAAGAGGAGGAGGAGGACAGAGGGACCUCUCCCGAGACUAUCGCUACCACCACCAGCGGCAGCGGCAGCAGCACCAUAAGGGGACUGCCGCUGCUUACACAGGCAAAACUAACGAAAAACUUGGCACAUCACGCGUGUUGAUGUGCGUGGACAGGAAAGAGAGAGAGAUGCCGGUGCAGCCGUAAAGACUCAAGUGGCGGCGGCGCGGAUGUCCUCGCCGGUCAU
This 2067-nucleotide unclassified non-coding RNA is filed under the name Leishmania donovani. RNAcentral describes it as "gene:LdHU3.05.0920(CDS-product:methylthioadenosin e_phosphorylase_putative)". The record is from RNAcentral. Lineage: Eukaryota; Euglenozoa; Kinetoplastea; Trypanosomatida; Trypanosomatidae.